Molecule: transfer RNA, 16 nt
Filed under: Crocodylus mindorensis (Philippine crocodile)
Lineage: Eukaryota; Metazoa; Chordata; Crocodylia; Crocodylidae
Description: partial tRNA-Phe
Source: RNAcentral
AAAGUCCCGAAUGACA